RNAcentral lists this ribosomal RNA (921 nucleotides) under uncultured bacterium. Its description in RNAcentral is "bacterial SSU rRNA". It matches the Rfam family "Bacterial small subunit ribosomal RNA", at positions 10 to 921 of the family's 1533-position model. The record is from RNAcentral.
AGUUUGAUCCUGGCUCAGGAUGAACGCUAGCUACAGGCUUAACACAUGCAAGUCGAGGGGAAACGAUAGAGAAAGCUUGCUUUUUCUAGGCGUCGACCGGCGCACGGGUGAGUAACGCGUAUCCAACCUGCCCAUCACUUGGGGAUAACCUUGCGAAAGUAAGACUAAUACCCAAUGAUAUCUCAAGAAGACAUCUGAAUGAGAUUAAAGAUUUAUCGGUGAUGGAUGGGGAUGCGUCUGAUUAGCUUGUUGGCGGGGUAACGGCCCACCAAGGUUACGAUCAGUAGGGGUUCUGAGAGGAAGGUCCCCCACAUUGGAACUGAGACACGGUCCAAACUCCUACGGGAGGCAGCAGUGAGGAAUAUUGGUCAAUGGGCGAGAGCCUGAACCAGCCAAGUAGCGUGCAGGAUGACGGCCCUAUGGGUUGUAAACUGCUUUUAUAAGGGAAUAAAGUGAGCCUCGUGAGGCUUUUUGCAUGUACCUUAUGAAUAAGGACCGGCUAAUUCCGUGCCAGCAGCCGCGGUAAUACGGAAGGUCCGGGCGUUAUCCGGAUUUAUUGGGUUUAAAGGGAGCGUAGGCCGGAGAUUAAGCGUGUUGUGAAAUGUAGAUGCUCAACAUCUGCACUGCAGCGCGAACUGGUUUCCUUGAGUACGCACAAAGUGGGCGGAAUUCGUGGUGUAGCGGUGAAAUGCUUAGAUAUCACGAAGAACUCCGAUUGCGAAGGCAGCUCACUGGAGCGCAACUGACGCUGAAGCUCGAAAGUGCGGGUAUCGAACAGGAUUAGAUACCCUGGUAGUCCGCACGGUAAACGAUGGAUGCCCGCUGUUGGUCUGAAUAGGUCAGCGGCCAAGCGAAAGCAUUAAGCAUCCCACCUGGGGAGUACGCCGGCAACGGUGAAACUCAAAGGAAUUGACGGAAGGA